RNAcentral lists this ribosomal RNA (468 nucleotides) under uncultured bacterium. RNAcentral describes it as "partial 16S ribosomal RNA". It matches the Rfam family "Bacterial small subunit ribosomal RNA", at positions 28 to 507 of the family's 1533-position model. The record is from RNAcentral.
GACGAACGCUGGCGGCGUGCUUAACACAUGCAAGUCGAACGGAAAGGCCCUGCUUUUGUGGGGUGCUCGAGUGGCGAACGGGUGAGUAACACGUGAGUCACCUGCCCUUGACUUUGGGAUAACUUCAGGAAACUGGGGCUAAUACCGGAUAGGAGCUCCUGCUGCAUGGUGGGGGUUGGAAAGUUUCGGCGGUUGGGGAUGGACUCGCGGCUUAUCAGCUUGUUGGUGGGGUAGUGGCUUACCAAGGCUUUGACGGGUAGCCGGCCUGAGAGGGUGACCGGCCACAUGGGGACUGAGAGACGGCCCAGACGCCUACGGGAGGCAGCAGUGGGGAAUAUUGCACAAUGGGCGGAAGCCUGAUGCAGCAACGCCGCGUGCGGGAUGACGGCCUUCGGGUUGUAAACCGCUUUCGCCUGUGACGAAGCGUGAGUGACGGUAAUGGGUAAAGAAGCACCGGCUAACUACGUG